RNAcentral lists this ribosomal RNA (585 nucleotides) under uncultured Ophiocordyceps sinensis. RNAcentral's name for it is "eukaryotic LSU rRNA". The stretch from base 206 to 359 matches the Rfam family "5.8S ribosomal RNA". Lineage: Eukaryota; Fungi; Ascomycota; Sordariomycetes; Hypocreales; Ophiocordycipitaceae. The record is from RNAcentral.
GGAAGUAAAAGUCGUAACAAGGUCUCCGUUGGUGAACCAGCGGAGGGAUCAUUACCGAGUUUACAACUCCCAAACCCCUGUGAACAUACCUUAAUGUUGCCUCGGCGGAUCAGCCCGCGCCCCGUAAAACGGGACGGCCCGCCAGAGGACCCAAACUCUAAUGUUUCUUAUUGUAACUUCUGAGUAAAACAAACAAAUAAAUCAAAACUUUCAACAACGGAUCUCUUGGUUCUGGCAUCGAUGAAGAACGCAGCAAAAUGCGAUAAGUAAUGUGAAUUGCAGAAUUCAGUGAAUCAUCGAAUCUUUGAACGCACAUUGCGCCCGCUGGUAUUCCGGCGGGCAUGCCUGUUCGAGCGUCAUUUCAACCCUCAAGCCCCCGGGUUUGGUGUUGGGGAUCGGCUCUGCCUCACGGCGGUGCCGCCCCCGAAAUACAUUGGCGGUCUCGCUGCAGCCUCCAUUGCGUAGUAGCUAACACCUCGCAACUGGAACGCGGCGCGGCCAUGCCGUAAAACCCCAACUUCUGAAUGUUGACCUCGGAUCAGGUAGGAAUACCCGCUGAACUUAAGCAUAUCAAUAAGCGGAGGA